GUGCAAUUUUUGGAUAAUCGCGUGGUAAAUAUUGCAAUUUUAUCAUGAGGAAAGUCCGUGCUAGCAGGGGCUGUGAUGCCAGUAGUGUUUGUGCUAGACAAAAAAAUAAGUCUAGGGAUGUGCUUUGCGCAUUACGGCGGAUAAAAUGGCUAAGUCUUUGAUAGGCCGGAGUAAUUCUGAAAGUGCCACAGUGACGUAGCUUUUAUGGAGGCAUAAAAGGUGGAACGCGGUAAACCCCUCAAGCUAGCAACCCA
This 254-nucleotide unclassified non-coding RNA is filed under the name uncultured Streptococcus sp. RNAcentral's name for it is "partial ribonuclease P RNA". It matches the Rfam family "Bacterial RNase P class B", at positions 1 to 242 of the family's 365-position model. Rfam says of the family: Ribonuclease P (RNase P) is a ubiquitous endoribonuclease, found in archaea, bacteria and eukarya as well as chloroplasts and mitochondria. Its best characterised activity is the generation of mature 5'-ends of tRNAs by cleaving the 5'-leader elements of precursor-tRNAs. Cellular RNase Ps are ribonucleoproteins. Lineage: Bacteria; Bacillati; Bacillota; Bacilli; Lactobacillales; Streptococcaceae. The record is from RNAcentral.